GUGGGGGCCAGCCCCCUGCCUGCCUGUCUGUCUCUUUCCUGGGCCCCCAGGGCACUCAAGAGAGGGCUACAUGGCAGUGGCUACUGACGGGGUGGCAGGGAGUUGCCCUCUCUGCCAGGCAUCCUGUGUGGGCAGCCAGCAGCCGUUACUCAGCAGAGAGGGAAACAGAGACCCAGAGAGGUGAUUUGAGCUGCUCAAGGUCAGACAACAAGAAGCAGGAACUGAAGUGAGCUCACGAGUAUUCACUGCGGAGCCAGGACUGCUGGGCUCCUUGCUGACCUGCCACGGCCCUGCACUGCCCCAGCACUCAGGAAGCCCCAGCAUUCAGAGCUAGAACAGGCCCGGGGAAAGUCUCCCUCCACCUGUCACCCCUUCCGGUCGAGACCUUCUGCUGGAAGACUGAGAAUGAGCCCCUUCUCCAGGCGUGGGGGCUGAGCGCCCUGCAGGGCUCUGUGUGGACCGUCCUUAUACGUUUUCUCACUUUCCUCCACGACCCUUCCCAGCUGGUCCUUCCACAGUUGGGCCCCCUUUAAGGAACCAACGAGGUACAGAGCAGCCAGGCCCUGCACUAGCCCAGCUCAAAAGCAGAGGGCCCAUGACAACGGAUUGCACUCUGGAGCUUCAUGACCCACUGCAGCCUCUCCUGGAGGCACCAGGACCCUCUGGUCCCACAGCUCCAUCUGAAGUAAAGCCCUCCACAGGCUGACAACUUUCCACUGCUCUGGAGAAAAGGGACUGGAGAGUCCCUUGAGAAUCAAGACUCCCAGAGAGAAAAAAAUAGCACAUUAAGACUGGAACAGGACUGGUAGAGCUCUUCCUAGCAUGCUUCAGGCCCUGGGUUCAAUCAGCAGCAACGUGGAAAGAAAACUUGGGAUAGCAAAGGGUAUAAGGACUAGAAGACCCGAGUGUGCAUCCUACAUCUGCCAUUUCAAGCUGCAAGUUUGUUCUGUAGAUAAAAAAUAAAUGCCAG
This is a long non-coding RNA of Heterocephalus glaber (naked mole-rat), 970 nucleotides long. Lineage: Eukaryota; Metazoa; Chordata; Mammalia; Rodentia; Bathyergidae. The record is from Ensembl.